UGCACAUCUGAGAGCGAGGAGGAAAUAGAUGGUGAAAAGAUGGCGUGAACACUAAAGGUGUGAGUAACACUGAUAUCUGUGAAGUGACAGAUCGAUAAAUACUGAAGUUUUACAUGAGGGCCAUGGUGAGGAAAGCUUAAUGGUUAAAAGCAGCUGGAUAAAAUCACCUGAAGACCAGAUAAACUGAGGUAACAAGUUUAAGGAUGAGCAGUCGUGAGCACGGAGCCGAUCUUUUAAUCAGCUCAGCAGGAAGCGGCAGCAUCAGAGACGGACGGACGGUGAGGUCAUGGGAGCAGUAUUCACAUUGUUCCUACAGGCAGAUUAAACUCUACAACUUAAAAGUAUUAAUAUGUGUAUCAGUGAUUCCUGAGAUUAGGGACAAAACAGGUUUUAAUUUUCUAAAAUAUAUUUUUUGAAAAAACAAAACAAAAACAUAUUUACAUAUUUACUUGUGGGGAUAGGUUAAUUGGAUAACCAAAAUUGUCACUAGGUGUGAAUGUGCAAAUGAAUGUGAGUGCGAACGGUUGUUUGUCCCUGUGUGUUAGCCUUGCGACAGAGUGGCGACCUGUCCAGGGUGUACCCCGCCUCUCGCCCUAUGACAGCUGGGAUAGGCUCCAGCGCCCCCCGCGACCCUGAAAAGGAUAAGCGGAAGUGAAUGGAUGGAUGGAUGGAUAUUUACAUAUAAUUGUUACACAAAGUUUUGGCUGUCUCACCAUGUUUUGGUACAAUCUCCCAGGUGUAAUAUUUUUUAAUAAUUUAUAUUUUUGCUGGAGGAGUGCAAGGUUUUUGUCAACACCAUCAGACACAAACAAAUGCAAAAAUAUAUAUUUUAGGUUGUUUCAGCUAUUUUGACUAUUAGCAGCAUAUUGUUCUAUUGUUUAUGCACAUAUGUUUUCAAACGAAUUAUACUAUGUUUAAAAGUAAGAUUGUUUUGGCUUUUUAUUAGUAGCGUUACAGUCAUACAUAUUUUCAGAAAAGAAACAAUCCUAUUUAGCAGCAUGCAAAUGACACAUUGAGAAAAUUACGUAUUUUUAUUGGAAGAUCAUGAGGGAGGAUAAUAUACGGUUCUUCAAAAGACAAAAAUAAACAAAGAAAUCCAUAUUAUGGAGUUGACAAGGUGCUGACGGUGGUGACACACUAAUAGAAAACAAAAUAUUAUUUCUUUCAAAAUGACCAUUAAAGUUUAACAACUUAUGUAAUAUCAGACACAUCAUAACAAUUCUGUUUUUGCACAUGUCAAGUUCUACAUCUUAAUAGUUCACCAGCAAGUAGCUGCCUACUACUCUUUGAUACCUAAAGUACUCUGGUUGUGUGUUUGCUUGUUUCCAAAACCUUCCCUUCUCCCUUUUUUCUCUUCCUUUCAGAUCACCGAUGUUCUUUAUUUUUCCCUCUUUCACUCUCUUUCUAGAUCUUUCCCUUUCCUUUAUGAGAAACUCUUUCUUCAACUCAGGCUGGCUGUUAAUUUUUUUCUCCUUAUUUGAUCAUCCCUGUUCCUCCUCUUUCGUUCCUCUGACAGGUUCCCCUUUGCAAUUCUAGCCUGAAAUGUACCAUUUUGUAAUUACUAUAAUUUUUCUGAACCUUAUGCAUUUAUACAGAUUAAGGAUGAAUAUUCACAACACAAUUAUGUAUUAAGCAAUAGAGAUGCUAUCCAGUCUUUAAGUCUGAUGUCAUUAGCUGUUUCCAGGUCCAAACUCCGCUGCAGAUCCCAAAGUCAAAGGAACUCUGCGGCAUCACUGAGAGUUACAAACUGUCUAAAUUCUUUC
Astatotilapia calliptera (eastern happy) is the source of this 1763-nucleotide long non-coding RNA. NCBI's taxonomy places the organism in Eukaryota, Metazoa, Chordata, Actinopteri, Cichliformes, Cichlidae. The record is from Ensembl.